GACGAACGCUGGCGGCGUGCUUAACACAUGCAAGUCGAGCGGAAAGGCCCUGCUUGCAGGGUACUCGAGUGGCGAACGGGUGAGUAACACGUGGGUGAUCUGCCCUGCACUUCGGGAUAAGCCUGGGAAACUGGGUCUAAUACCGGAUAGGAGCCAUUUUUAGUGUGAUGGUUGGAAAGUUUUUUCGGUGUAGGAUGAGCUCGCGGCCUAUCAGCUUGUUGGUGGGGUAAUGGCCUACCAAGGCGGCGACGGGUAGCCGGCCUGAGAGGGUGGACGGCCACAUUGGGACUGAGAUACGGCCCAGACUCCUACGGGAGGCAGCAGUGGGGAAUAUUGCACAAUGGGCGCAAGCCUGAUGCAGCGACGCCGCGUGGGGGAUGACGGCCUUCGGGUUGGAAACUCCUUUCGCUAGGGACGAAGCUUUUUGUGACGGUACCUAGAGAAGAAGCACCGGCUAACUACGUG
RNAcentral lists this ribosomal RNA (465 nucleotides) under uncultured bacterium. Its description in RNAcentral is "partial 16S ribosomal RNA". It matches the Rfam family "Bacterial small subunit ribosomal RNA", at positions 28 to 507 of the family's 1533-position model. The record is from RNAcentral.